Molecule: long non-coding RNA, 2221 nt
Organism: Bombus impatiens (common eastern bumble bee)
Lineage: Eukaryota; Metazoa; Arthropoda; Insecta; Hymenoptera; Apidae
Exons: 2
Source: RefSeq, a predicted model, not a curated record
UCGUUGUUGGACCUAGGAUCAUUGUCAUUAGCUUCUCGAGUGUCUGAUUACCGCGGUUACUUGUCAAAUUCUGUAAUAGUCGUAUUUCCACUAGUCAAUGUCUUCUCCAUUGCAUAGCAACAAUGUGUAGUCCAAAUGAGUAUUCGUUUCACGCCCCUAACCCUAAUCAUAAUGUGAACCCGACAUGUAUGUAGAAACCAAUACCUGUAUAGAAGCUCCAAGACAUUCAUAGCGUUCUGUACUGCAAAUGAUAUUGCAAUGGAAACCGAAUGGUGGCCCAUUAAUUUCGGGAUAACCAGAAAUUGGUAUUCGGAGAGUACAAGCUAUGGUUUAGGUUCCAUUAAUUAUUUACUAGUCGGAACUUGAGUUUGAAGCGUGCCCUUUUAGAAGAAAGUUCCUGAUGUAUUGUCGAUGUCGUGUUUACGGAUGAACUAGCAUUAAGUAUCGAUAGAUGAACAUACUAUUUCCACGUUUGCGAUGCGGUGAUAUUCCACAGCUUGUGUAACUUUAAUCAAUGUCUCAGCUUCCCUUAAACUUUAAACCGUUUUGAAUGGAAUAUUCAUGCGAGUUCGCAAAUGUUGUGUCGAAUUAUAAUGAUUUGUAGAACCAUGCACAAUGUCGCGAGACGUCGUCCUAACGAAGAAGAUGAUGAACGAUACAUCGCCUCGUCGAAGAAAAUGGACGACUGUUAAGAGUUAACCAUUACAGAGAAGAUCCGACCCGAAAUUCACUUUACGUAUACUUAUCGACCAUAUUCUCUGUUAUAUUCUUUUACGAGCUAUGGGAUGGGUUUAACUUCUCCCUAACGAUCGUCUCUGUGUCACAGAAAUUGCAUCGGUGGAUCGUUUCCUUAGUGUGUAAAAGCUGAAAAUUUUCUGAUAUGAAAGAGAUAUUCUCAAUACACGUUCGUAAUACGUUCGUAAUACGCUCGUAGAUAAAAUACUACGAUGCGUUCAAGCUAUUUGAGGCGAGUAAAUGCACGAUACACUAUAGAAACGUAAUGGCGCUGGUUUCGUAAUUUUUUAAGGCAGGCUGUUUUCUUUGGUGUGUAAUUUAUGGAAUGUUCGCGCGACGCUUCACAAAGCGGGACUCUAAGGCAGAGUUCGCGUGGCUAAAGGGUUUUUCAAGAUGUAAAUACCGCUUCCUGGAAGUAGAAGAACAUGCGAAACCACUUAGUACACGAGAUAAUCUUUUGGGUAUAAAUUAUUAAUCCUUAAAUGCAUAGUGGUGUCGUCAUUUGAUAAUAUAACUUUUUUCUUAACAUAGCGAAUAUAUGCGAGGCAUUGUCAGCAGAGUUAGACUAAAACAUAUUUCUUCUAAAUGUGAGUUUAUGAAUAAAAUUAUUAUAUUAUACAUAGUUCGAUACAAGUAACAUAAAAAUACUAUCAAAUUAGUUUAUUUCAUUUGUACGUUUGAUUAUCCUAUUGUCUCCGUCUCUUGUUACAGUAAAAUGUUUUAAGAAUUGUGUUAUGCAAUCAACGAGAUAAAUAGCUGAUUACAUCUUCGCGAUAAUCGACCUGCAAUUUGCUUAUAUCUUUCAGACACGUUAUAGCCAUCUUUGAUAACAAAGUACUUUCCCCAGUAAAAAAUUAAAAAAAAAUAAAUGGCGUGAAUUCAAUAAUUUUUCUAUGAUUUUGUGGUUUGAUUAUAUCUAGGGAGAAGAAUCAAGGUUUGACAAAUAUAUUGCAACCAUUUCUGUAACUCUUUAGCUACAGAAGUGUUUCACUUCGCAUUCUUCCUUCUGGCAACGCGAAAACUCAUCACGACGGAUAUCUUGAGGUUCAGAAUUUGAACUUUCAAAUCGAAAUCUCCGUUCAUUAGUUCGUGUGCAAAUGAACCGAACGGGAAGGAACAAGUACCGUGCUGAUGUUGAAGUUCAGCGUCCUACGAAAGUAAUUCGUGAAAGUUGCGAACUGCCGAAGAAGUCGAAAAAGUUCUUAAAGGUUCGUGGGUAAUUUUAAUUUAGUUCCAAAGUGCAAGAAACAUUUGGAUACGAUUAAAAUUUCCGCGUGAAUAUAAAGGGUGAUCGUUAGGAAUUGAUUUCUGCACGAUGUCAUAGCGAAAUUUAGAGAACAUAUAGAACCAAACCGAGCAAAUACACCAUUAAAAUUGGCAAGCACCUGUCGCGUCGAUAUCGCGACACGGUUUUAUAGGCUUUCCACUUUCAUUAGCUUCCCAAAUUGCAAUAUUCGCGAGAUUGGAAUCAAACCAGAAUUAUAUC